GGUUAAGUGAAUAAGGGCGCACGGUGGAUGCCUUGGCACUAGGAGCCGAUGAAGGACGGGACUAACACCGAUAUGCUUUGGGGAGCUGUAAGUAAGCUAUGAUCCAGAGAUUUCCGAAUGGGGGAACCCAAUAUCUUUUAUAGGAUAUUACUUUUCAGUGAAUACAUAGCUGAUUAGAGGUAGACGCAGAGAACUGAAACAUCUUAGUACCUGCAGGAAGAGAAAGAAAAUUCGAUUCCCUGAGUAGCGGCGAGCGAAACGGGAAGAGCCCAAACCAACAAGCUUGCUUGUUGGGGUUGUAGGACUCCAAUAUGGUAGUCUGUUAGUAUAGUUGAAGGAUUUGGAAAAUUCCGCUAAAGAGGGUGAAAGCCCCGUAGACGAAAUGCUGACAACACCUAGGAGGAUCCUGAGUACGGCGGAACACGAGAAAUUCCGUCGGAAUCCGCGGGGACCAUCCCGCAAGGCUAAAUACUCCCUAGUGACCGAUAGUGAACCAGUACCGUGAGGGAAAGGUGAAAAGCACCCCGGAAGGGGAGUGAAAUAGAUCCUGAAACCGUGUGCCUACAACAAGUCAAAGCUCGUUAAUGAGUGAUGGCGUGCCUUUUGUAGAAUGAACCGGCGAGUUACGAUUGCAUGCGAGGUUAAGUCGAAGAGACGGAGCCGCAGCGAAAGCGAGUCUGAAUAGGGCGA
This 690-nucleotide ribosomal RNA is filed under the name Listeria monocytogenes. RNAcentral's name for it is "partial 23S ribosomal RNA". It matches the Rfam family "Bacterial large subunit ribosomal RNA", at positions 1 to 695 of the family's 2925-position model. Lineage: Bacteria; Bacillati; Bacillota; Bacilli; Caryophanales; Listeriaceae. The record is from RNAcentral.